GAUGAACGCUGGCGGCGUGCCUAAUACAUGCAAGUCGAACGAAACUUCUUUAUCACCGAGUGCUUGCACUCACCGAUACAGGGUUGAGUGGCGAACGUGUGAGUAACACGUCUUCAGCCUGCCCAAAAGAGGGGGGUGACACUUGGAAACAGGUGCUAAUACCGCAUAACGAUAGUUAGAGAAUGUUAGCGGUGGGAAAGGGGGCUAUAGUACCGCAUUUGGAUGGGGCGGCGGCGCAUUAGCAAGGUGUUAGGGUAAAGGCUUACCAAGGCAAUGAUGGGUAGCCGAAUUGCGAGGUUGAUCAGCCACAUUGGGACUGAGACACGCCACAAACUCCUACGGGAGGCACCAGUAGGGCAUCUUCCGCCAUGGGCGAAAGCCUGAUGGCGCAACGCCGAGUGGGUGAAGAAGAUCUUCGGAUCGUAAAACCCUGUUGUUAGAGAAGAAAGUGCGUGCGCGUAACUGUUCACGUUUCGACCGUAUCUAACCAGAAAGCCACCGCUAACUACGUG
Molecule: ribosomal RNA, 512 nt
Filed under: uncultured bacterium
Lineage: Bacteria
Description: partial 16S ribosomal RNA
Rfam family: Bacterial small subunit ribosomal RNA
Source: RNAcentral